RNAcentral lists this ribosomal RNA (232 nucleotides) under uncultured bacterium. Its description in RNAcentral is "partial 16S ribosomal RNA". It matches the Rfam family "Bacterial small subunit ribosomal RNA", at positions 104 to 334 of the family's 1533-position model. The record is from RNAcentral.
GGGUAGCGUAACACGUGAGCAACCUACCUAGGUGUGGGGGAGUAGCCGGCCCAACGGCCGGGUAAUACCGCAUACGCUCUUCUUUAGGCAUUUAGAGGAGAGGAAACCUUCGGGGCACCAUGAGGGGCUCGCGGCCUAUCAGCUAGUUGGCGAGGUAAUGGCUCACCAAGGCUACGACGGGUAGCUGGUCUGAGAGGAUGGCCAGCCACAUUGGGACUGAGAAACGGCCCAG